AGGUAUUGAAAUAAGAUUUUAAUUGAAUGCUAAGAGAAUGGAAUUUCAGAAAAAUACUUUUUUUUAAUUAAAAAUUGAAGUUUUUUUAAUUUGUGAAGAAACAAUUAUAAAAAUUAAAGACAAGAAGACCCUAUGAAUUUUUUUUUAAAAUAUUGUAAGUUUAUAUAAUAUUUUAUAUUAAUUGGGGCGAUUAAAAAAUAUUAAAAACUUUUUUUAAUUAAUAUGAUCCAUUAUUAAUGAUUAAAUGAAUAAAUACUCUAGGGAUAACAGCGUAAUAAUUUUUGAUAGUUCAUAUAGACAAAAUAGUUUGCGACCUCGAUGUUGGAUUAGGAUACUUUUUUAGUGAAGAAACUAAAAAAAGAAG
This 364-nucleotide ribosomal RNA is filed under the name Nosomma monstrosum. RNAcentral's name for it is "partial large subunit ribosomal RNA". The record is from RNAcentral. Lineage: Eukaryota; Metazoa; Arthropoda; Arachnida; Ixodida; Ixodidae.